RNAcentral lists this ribosomal RNA (1182 nucleotides) under Triticum aestivum (bread wheat). Its description in RNAcentral is "partial small subunit ribosomal RNA". Lineage: Eukaryota; Viridiplantae; Streptophyta; Magnoliopsida; Poales; Poaceae. The record is from RNAcentral.
AUGGCCAAGCGUCGGCGUGAGGGGUCAAGCGAGAAGCGCUGCGACUGCGGCAAGCAGCGGCGCAAGCACCUCUACCUCGUCUUGGACGACUGGGACAAAGGGUUCAGCAUCCGCAAGCUCGACGCCCUCAGCUUCCUGGACGACUCUGACGACUCUGACGACGACGGCGGCGGGACCCUCAGGCGUCUCCCUGACCCUCCGGCGGUCCGUAUCACCGAGGCGCGACACUCCCCUAUGCUCUUCGCCGGCCUGGGCACCACCAUCUUCGUCGCCAACAAGGAACAACGCUCCCCGCAGGUCACCGGUGCCCUCAUCUACGACACGGAGACGGCCGCCAUGGCCAUGGGCCCUGGCCUCCCCGAGAACCCAUGCUGCGUCUUCGUCGCUGUCGGCCGCGGCCGAAGCAAGAAUGACAAGGGACGAAAGUACAACGACGAGAAGCUGUACACGCUGGCAAAAGUUGACCAUGGAGACAGAUCAAAUCACCCGAGCGGGCACCUGAUGGGCGUGGCCGUCCACGCGCUGUCAUGGGCGCGCUCCCCGGCCGCCGUCGCCGAGCCAUGGCUCCCGAGCCACGAGUGGGCCUGGGAGAGCGUCGCCGCGCCCAUGGCGCCGUUCGACGGCAACGAGGAAACGGUCGUCUCCUACGCGGUGCACCCGGACGGGCACACCAUAUUCUUCUCCACGAGGGGCAGGGGGUGGCGACCGGCGGGCACCUACUCUUUCGACACGGAGCAGCGCGAGUGGAGGUCGCACGGGGACUGGAUGCUGCCUUUCGAUGGUCAGGGUUACUACGAAAGGGAGCUCGACGCCUGGGUCGGGCUCCACAAGGACGGCUACAUCUGCUGCUGCCAGGCCGCGACGGCCACGCCAGGAGCGGCGCCGGAGUGGAGGAAGACGGAGCGCAAGCUGUUCCGUGAGGGCGACCGGGAGCGGCACCUAGGAGCCACGCUCACCUACAUGGGCAACAAUGUCUUCUGCCUCGUGGAGAGCGUGGUGCAGGAGGCCGUGGAGCCCGGGCGGGCCUAUGGCGCCGGCCGCGGCUGCGCGCUCCAUGUCACCGUGUUCGGCCUCAAGUACAACCGUGACGGGGAGCUGCAGUCCACCGUCCGCCGCAUCACCAACUCGUACGCGGUCUGCAAGUACAUCCCGGGCUUCACUCAUGAAGCAUUCUGGAUGUAG